This 190-nucleotide small RNA is filed under the name Pan troglodytes (chimpanzee). RNAcentral's name for it is "retained intron". Lineage: Eukaryota; Metazoa; Chordata; Mammalia; Primates; Hominidae. The record is from RNAcentral.
CCUAUACCACCUUUACAUCAUUGAUUGCAUUUCUAUGUGAUGAUUAUAAACUGCUGAUUUAAAAUUUUUUUUUGUUUGUUUAUUUAAACAUAGGUAGAACAAUCUCCAUCUAGCAGCAAACUGAAAGUAAUGCAAACAGAUGAAUCCAAUAAAGAAACAGCUAACCUACAAGAAAGAAGUAUAAGCAAUG